Centruroides sculpturatus (bark scorpion) is the source of this 362-nucleotide long non-coding RNA. RefSeq lists it as uncharacterized. Lineage: Eukaryota; Metazoa; Arthropoda; Arachnida; Scorpiones; Buthidae. The transcript is spliced from 3 exons. The record is from RefSeq and is a predicted model, not a curated record.
UAAUUAUGUGCAAUUUUUUCAGAAUUGUUUCGAUUUCCCUGAAGAACCUGCAUAUAAUGUAUCAGAAGAGGCUAAAGAUUUAAUAAGGAGAUUAAUCUGUACAGCAGAGAGUCGUUUUGGACAGAAUGGUUUAGAUGAUUUUAAAAAUCAUCCUUGGUUUGCUGGAAUAAACUGGGACAAUGUUAGAGAUAGUGAAGCACCUUACAUUCCUGAGGUAAGCAGUCCUACAGAUACUUCAAAUUUUGAUGUUGAUGAAGCUGAUUUUAAAAGUUCAGAUUCAGUGCCACCUAGUACAAAUUCUAUUUUUUCUGGUUUGCAUUUGCCAUUUGUUGGAUUUACAUUUACUUGUGGAAGGUAACUUU